RNAcentral lists this long non-coding RNA (6021 nucleotides) under Homo sapiens (human). RNAcentral describes it as "HSALNT0144571". Lineage: Eukaryota; Metazoa; Chordata; Mammalia; Primates; Hominidae. The record is from RNAcentral.
AGGAGAUAUACCUAAUGCUAGAUGAUGAGUUAGUGGGUUCAGCGCACCAGCAUGGCACAUGUAUACAUAUGUAACUAACCUGCACAAUGUGCACAUGUACCCUAAAACUUAAAGUAUAAUAAUAAAAAAAAAAAGUCAAAAAAAAAAAAAAAAGAUAAUUUCCUCCCCCAGGGAAAUCCACACACCAAGUAUGUAUAAAACAGUGGUUGGGACAUUUGUCAAUGGCUGAUCACUGAGGAGGUGCUAGUGGAAACCACUCAGUAGAGGUCGGAAAUUGUGACAAACAUCCAGCAGUGCACAGGCGAGUGCCUGUUUCUGCUCCCCACUAGCAAAGAAUUAUCUAUUGUACAAUUUUGAUAUUGCUGCUGUUACUAACACUUUAUAAAGGGAUCUUUACAUUGUGUAGAAGUUGAAAUAGAUAAUACCUAAGAUCCCAGCAAGAUUCAAUUGCAGGACUCAAAAAUGCUAUUAUUUCAGUUUUCUAACACACUUGGAUUCUGACCUUUAACAAUUCUAUGAUCCCAAGAUUAUAGGAAACCUAUAAGGUUUUAAGUGAUAUGAUUCUAAGAAGCCACAAUUCUAAAUUUCUAAGAUUCUAUUUAUUAUUGUAAGGUUUCUUUCAGUAUAAGACUGCUUUUCUAAGCUUCUAUGAUGUUAAGAUCUUGAGAGGCUUUUUAUCUUAGAUUGUAAGGUAUCUUGAGGUUAUGUUUCUAAUAAGCUCUAUCUCAAGAAACAGGGCUGCUUUUAUUCUAAGAUAACGAAUGCUGCAGUUCUAAGAUGCUAACGCAUCGUAAUGUACGUUUCUAGAUUUAUGUAUCCAGAACACGGAAAUGUACUGUGUUGAGGUGAGGUGUUAGUCUAUAUCCCAUAGCUUAGAUUCCCAAACUGUUUGAUCUGGUUUUAUAAUCGACAAGCAAUGUUUGAGGAAUAAGAUGGGCAUUGAAAUGCUUCUUUCAGUAAAGGAAAGUUUAGUAGCUAUGAUAGAAUAUAGAGUUGCUGGCCCAGUUUUAACUAAGUUCAUGUUCUUGGAUAUAAAGAGGACACUAACAUUUAUAUCCAUUACCUUGAAAAAGCAUAUCUCAUGGGAUACACUUAUAAGGUAACUUUAUUUUUAUCUCCUGUUUUCCCUUUACAUUUAUUCUGCAGUGAUGGUUAUGUUCUGCCCCUGGAUUGCAUUUAGGGUACUGUGAAGAAAGCAACAUGUUCUCAUUUUACAGAAGAGCAUAUUUACCCUCAGAGAAGUGUGGUAACUUGCCUGAGGAUAUAUGGAUAGUAACCAGCUAAGAUGUCAGACUAGUGUUUCUUUCAAAUACAACAUAUGCUGAGACAUAACAGAUGGCUUUUUUUGUUCAAGAUAAUUUAAUAUCCAUCAGUCCUUUGUCCUUCAUUCAUCCAAUUCAUUUGUUGACUCAUGCCACAUGUAUUUCCUGAACACCCAAAAUUGUCUCGUACAGAACUCUCACUCAUUCCCUCAGGCAUCGUUUUCAUCCAGAAGCCUCCUAGACCUAUAUUGGGCAAGCAACAUGUUGCAACGUACAUGUCUUGUUUGUGUUUUUGUCAUGCCUGUCAUAGCAUGUAGUGCCUGUGGUAACCUUCAGGAAACAUGUUUAUAUGAAACAAUAACUGGGGACCCAGGUGACUGACUCAAAACUUUCAUCAUUAAGUGAGUCAUGAUAGAUUUGGGAAAGACAGGCAAGUAAAAAUAUAUUACAAAACACUAUGGUGAGAAGUCAAAGAAGAUGAAAGAACACGCAGAAAGUACAUAAAGAGGCCUUGCUGAAAGGCCAAUCACAUGCUUUCACAUUGUGUAGAUGAGAACAGAAAGGUCACUCCAGCUGCCAGAGAGAGACACUUGUUCUUGAAGAAAGAACAAAAUUAAAAUCCUGAACCUCUCAUCCUACUUGUUGUCAGGUACACUGCACUGAUUACUUACAUUUCUUGACUGUAAGAGGCUUUGACAAGCAACAAGUGUGAAACAUGCUGGAAGUUGAUUAUUCUAUUGAAUUGGCUCUAGAUAAGUUGGAUAAAUGAAAGGCAUGCUGCUUGCCUCUGAAAUCCAGGCUGAGGAAAUAAAGUGGAAUUGGCAAAUACAACAUUUCGAAUGAACUCCAGUCACCACCUUCAAAGACAGCAGAGUCAAACCAAUGCAUCAAGUUCAUAGUAGAAUCCAAGGCGCUCAGUGCAUAUUAAUUGGCAGUGUCACUCCUGAAUCCACAUUACAUACAAAUAUGUUGAAUCUCAAUUCCCACUCAACACACAUUUAUUAAAACCUGGCUCUUCAUUUAUUUAUGCAUUCAGCACUUGUUGUACAAAUGUUUUCUGUGCCCAGAUUAUGCUUGAGACUAUAGAAACAGGGUCGAGCUUAGCCAACAUUGCCCCACCCUGAGGAAGCUCCUCAUCUAGUGAAUGAUCUCACAUAAGCAUUCACACAAAUAAUCAGUUUAGAUUUUGAUAAAAAAUACUAAGAAGAAAAUGUACAAAGUGUGAAAAGAAUGUACAAUUAGAGGCCUGGAGGUCAGUGGAUUUCUCCCUGAGGAAGGGAUGUUUAGGAAAGGACAUGAAGGUGAGUUGGAGGAAACCAGGUAAUAAGAUGGGCUGUCUAUUUAGGAGAAACCUCCAUCAUCUGCCACAGUGCUGGUGACUGUGUGUAGGGAGGGAGAGAAAGAGACUAACAAGACCCGUGAUAAGCCAUUGUGAUGGCUAAUAUUGAGCGUCAACUUGAUUGGAUUGAGGUAUACAAAGUAUUGUUCCUGGGUGUGUCCGUGAGGGUGCUGCCAAAGGAGAUUAACAUUUGAGUCAGUGGACUGGGAGAGGCAGACCCACCUUCAGUCUGGGUUGGCACAGUCUAAUCAGUUGCCACAGUGGCUAGAAUAAAAGCAGGCAGAAUAAUUUGGAAGGACUAAACUGGACAAGUCUUCUGGCCUUCAUCUUUCUCCCUUGCAGGAUGCUUCCUGCCCUCGAACAUCAGACUCCAAGUUCUUCAGCUUUUGGAAUCUUGGGCUUAUACCAAUGGUUUGCUAGGGGCUGUUGGGCUUUCAGCCACAGACUGAAGGCUGCACUGUCAGUUUCCCUACUUUUGAGGUUUUGAGACUAGGGCUGGCUUCCUUGUUCCUCAGCUUGCAGAUGGCCUAUUAUGGGACAUCACCUGGUGGCUGUGUGAGUCAAUUAUCUGUAAUAAACUCCCUUUCAUGUAUACAUCUAUCCUAUUAGUCCUGUCCCUCUAGAGAAUACCGGCCAAUACAUCCAUAUCAGUCAUACCAAUACAUCCAUGUCAGUCAUAAUGACCAAUACAUCCAUAUCAGUCAUAACGCUUUUACAGGCCACAUUGGAAAUUAUGAAAAAAUUAAUGAAAGGGUGAAUAAUACAAAAGUUUCUCUCUCUCUCUCUCUUUCGCUAUUUUAAGCUCCAGCUUUUUCCUGAUUCUGAGUCUGGCAUUCCUUGCAGUCACAAGAGGGCUACCAAAAGCAGAGAAUGUGCUUCUAUGUUCAUAUUCAAGAUGACAGCACAGAGGCAUCUCCCCAGACAUAGACUGUUGGACCUAUCAUUCAGUUCUCCUGGUCUAAUUAAGUCAUUCCUAUCAUAAGGGAAUAUAAUGCACUGAAUGGUUUAGAACAAUAAGGGGCUACACUUGGAAGCAGAGCAUGAAGCCAACAUCCACUAGAAAGGACAGAGGUGAAACAGAAGCAAAGCUCUGGAAAGACAGAAGCAGCAGGAUGUGUGAUACAGGUGCUGAGGUACCUGCCAUUAGUGUCACUACAUCAAUGAGCCCAGAGAAGCCCAGAGGAGACUCAUGGUCAGCCCAUGGCUGGAUUAGGACAUUAGGGCAUCAGCUUUGGUCUUGAAAAGAUCUGGAUUCUAUUGCUGUUCUUCCACCUGCUAGCUGUAACAACUAGAGUAACAACUCAGCAUCUCAUUCUCAGCUUGAUCAUCUUUAAAACAGGGAAAAUAAUUACAAGUGUAUGGUAGGUUGUUUUUUUAACCAUUAUGGUACAUUUUUUGAUAAAAAAAAUAUGGUAUAAAAAAACAUAUGGUAUGUUUUUCGAUAAUACAAUGAUACAGAUAAUAGAUAAUGUACUUGAUACAUAACACACAAUCAAUGUAUGUUCUUCCUUCCUCGUGCCUUUCAUCCAUCCUGUCCCAGAAAAGGGGGAAAAAUUAAUUCUCAUAUAAAGUCAUAGUGAAGCUAUGAAGGUUCAGUGGCAAAAGUGGGUUAAAAAAACUGGGAGAGGAGGUCGUGCAGAGAGUGACGCUUUCACGUGACGCUGGUGAUACAGCAGCACAACUUAACAUUGAGGAACAGAAAGACAGGCAGGAUGUCUGGUGUGGAUGCAGAGGAUGUAUGUGGUUGAGGUGAGAGAUGUAGGGCAGAGCAGAAAUGUAUCUGGUCUGUUUAAGAACGGUCACCUUCCUGGACUCAGAAUCAGCCUUUCUUUUGAACGCUAAGGCCUCUUACCAUAUCAAGUUCACUGUGUCCUUUUCUUCAGCAGGAAUUCCCUUUCGGGAGGUUCCUCAAGGCUCAUGCAAAGAGGCUGCAUGUAGGCCAGCCCUGCCAGUUCACCCAAGUGCCCAGGCAUGCAUCAGUGCUACCUAGACUCACCCAAGAGGUCACUGUAGGAGCAGGAUGUGCUUAAGCAAAGGUAACAAAGACUGACUCAACAACGGCAUGCAAUGCGGUUUCUUUAGUGUCACUGCCAAUUAUGGAAACAGAAUCUGAUUUUGCUCGUUUCAACAAUUCUGAAAAAUAAAUAAUAAGGUCACACACUAAAGGAGAGCAGAAAACAUGGGGAGAAAACAGAAUUCUAAAGAUAACACUCUCAUGAAAUCCAGAGGGGUUGGGAAUCUUUUCUGUGUGAAGGGGGUUAAGGAAUGAAAGUAGAAAUGUAAUAUGGCCCUCAGGGUUUGCUUUUGGAACAGGCUGGAACAUUGUAAAUGUAUUUUGUGAAGCGGGGAAUGGGAGAAGUGCAACAUAGCAUAUUUGGGGAAAAGUAGGUAGCUCAAAAUUGCUGGAACAUAUGUUUUGCAUAGGGGCUUUCAGGAGAUGAGGCUGCAGACUCAUAGGCAUUAGGAAAUAAACAGGCUCUUCUCCCAUACUAAGAUGUUUGCCCUUUAUGCUGAAGGUGAAACAGAAUCUCAGGAUGUCUCUAAAGUAGGGACAUAUUAUUUAUAUUUUUGAAAGAUCAUUCUAGCUGCGUAGGAAAAAUAAAUUCAGUGACUACAGACAGAGAAUAGAUUUCUGUAAAGAUCUGAAUGAGAAGAAACAUCAUCCUGAAAAUAGGAAGAAAUAAGGAAUGGCAGGAAAUGAAGCUGGAGAAAUGGGAUGAGCAGAUAACAAAGGGACUCCUCUGCCAUCUUAAGUGACUUCUGUUUGAAAAGUCAGAAAAGCUUGAGGUUGGGAAAAACAGGCUGUGGUCAUGGUGAGCGUCAGUGAAUCCAUUGUUUGUGUAGACAUGUUCCUUGGUUCGGGUGUUGAAAGUGGAGCCCGGACUCCAUGUGGGUAUCUGCCUGAGACUCCGUUACCUGAAGCUGAGAAGACAAGAAAGAAAAGGGAUGUAUUGAGAGUUAAAUUUUUCUGAAAGGGAUGAUGGGUUUCUGUUUUGAAAGUCUGAUCUGACUGUGAGGAAAUCAGUAAUAAAAUUUCCAUAUUAUUCACAUUUCUGGCAUUUAUGUUGCUGAGCAUGAUUAUUUGCAUUUCAGUUCUGACACAUGAAAUUUCGUGGUAUUAUGGGCUGAACUGUGUUCUUCCAAAAUUCAUAUGUUAAUGUUCUAACCCCCAAUACCUCAGAUUGUUUAGAGAUAGGUAAGGCCUUCAAAAAAUAAUUAAGUUAAAAUGAGGCCAUUAGGGUGGGCCCUCAUUCAAUAUGAUUGUAUCUUUAUAAGAAGAGACAAUUAGGACACAGAUAUGCACAGAGACACCAUCACCAUCUGAGGACACUGGCAGAAGAAAGCCGAGGAGAGAAGCUUCAGAAAUCAACCCUCUACUGGCACCUUGAUCGCUUCCCUCCAGCCUCCGGAGUGGUGAGA